AUUGAACGCUGGCGGCAUGCCUUACACAUGCAAGUCGAACGGUAACAGGUCUUCGGAUGCUGACGAGUGGCGAACGGGUGAGUAAUACAUCGGAACGUGCCCAGACGUGGGGGAUAACGAGGCGAAAGCUUUGCUAAUACCGCAUACGAUCUAAGGAUGAAAGCAGGGGACCGCAAGGCCUUGUGCGUUUGGAGCGGCCGAUGGCAGAUUAGGUAGUUGGUGGGAUAAAAGCUUACCAAGCCGACGAUCUGUAGCUGGUCUGAGAGGGCGACCAGCCACACUGGGACUGAGACACGGCCCAGACUCCUACGGGAGGCAGCAGUGGGGAAUUUUGGACAAUGGGCGAAAGCCUGAUCCAGCAAUGCCGCGUGCAGGAUGAAGGCCUUCGGGUUGUAAACUGCUUUUGUACGGAACGAAAAGGCUCUGGCUAAUACCUCGGGCACAUGACGGUACCGUAAGAAUAAGCACCGGCUAACUACGUG
RNAcentral lists this ribosomal RNA (482 nucleotides) under uncultured bacterium. Its description in RNAcentral is "partial 16S ribosomal RNA". It matches the Rfam family "Bacterial small subunit ribosomal RNA", at positions 30 to 507 of the family's 1533-position model. The record is from RNAcentral.